Unclassified non-coding RNA from Bombyx mandarina (wild silkworm), 12094 nucleotides. Lineage: Eukaryota; Metazoa; Arthropoda; Insecta; Lepidoptera; Bombycidae. The record is from RefSeq and is a predicted model, not a curated record.
UGUAUGCAUACUAAGGAAAACCAUUCAAGAUUACCUUUUUCGGUACAAAAUCUUCUAGGCAAAAAUACAGAAGCUUGGAACAAGAUGUAUUAUAUGUUUUUUUGUUUUGUUUUAUGUUUAUGUUGUAUUGUAUAGUGCUUUUUAUAGCCAUGCGUUCAGAGUUCAAAGGUGAGACAGACGAAAUAAAAUCAUUGGAGAUUUCUACCUCAUAUCUCAAGAUGACGUUCAUCUUGAGGUAUUUACAGGCUACAAUAACCCGAUAAUUAUUGACAGGCCAUGAGCAGGUUUACCGAUAUAAUAAAAUGCAAUCAGAAAAGAAAAAAAAAAAUAAGAAGCUACUUACGUACGAUUUUCGUGUUACCGUGGAAUAUUCUGACUGAGCCGUUUGAUUAAAAUUUCAUAAUGACAACGAGGUCUCCCGUUUACAUCUAAGAGUUUUUAAUCUAAUAGUCACAAGGUGAUUUAAGCGAAGCGGUGGUGAAACUCGGCAUUAAUUUCCUUUCAUUUUAUCCAAUUUCCUAUCCUUGCCGAGCAACGCCUUCCACCUCUGAGGUAGAUUAAACUCACGUGGAAUCAAAUACGAACUGCCUAGCUGCCUCCGACAGGAAAAUGUUGACUAUAGAUACGAGUUAUAAUACAUUUUUCUGAACUAUUUCCUUCUCGUAAAUAGCUUCGGUCGUACUCUGUCAAGUCAAUAUAUUCCGUUGAGGUAAUCCUUUGACUCCUGCAGCACUAGUGUGUACAUAAUCGAGUUUUAUGUACAAACGAGUGUUUUUUUCUAUAAUACAAUGACUAACGUAUUUUUUCUUUGACAUUAUAGUUAUAUACAUUUGAUGCAAUAAAUACAAUUAAUUCCGUCUCAGUACAAAAAUAAAACACAUAGUGUUGAAACUUUAAAAACGAUUUAUGCAAUAAACAAACAAAAAAAGUGUAACAAAUAAUGUGCGUGAACAUUAUUACAGUGUGCUAAAAUGACUUUGGAAUAUGUCGAAUACAAAGAACAGAUUUACGUGAAUAGUGUAAACGAUAAAACGAUAUGGGAUGACUCAUAGUGAAAAAUGUAAUGUGCUACCCACUAUCCGGUCCGAAGAUGAUGCGCGAAAUUCACGACAAUGCUGGGGCAGGCGCAGGCGGCGGGAUGGAGGGAAGCGAGGGCGGAGGGAGUGGGGGUGCCGAGGUCGAUAUGGACGACUGUGGUUCCCUUGCUCUUCCACCAGACUUACCACCUUAUUCUGGCGAUUACAUCAUCAACGAUUAUAUGGAACGCCUCGGCACACGUCUUAACAUCCUCGAGACGGAAUUGAAAUAUGCAUGGAGGGCCCUCGAUCUCUUAAGUCAAGAAUAUGUGAGAAUGUGGGAACGGUUGGAAAGAUUAGAAGCAUUGCUCGCAGAUCAACAGGGUGUAAUAUCAACUUUGCUCGAUUUCUAUACGUGUCGAAAUGUUGUUGCUAGAGAUCCAAUGACACGGCUCGAAGUUAUCCGAGAAAUUUUAGGAAAUGGAACUGUGGAGGAUGGUAUAGAAGAAGGGUUGGAUAUUGGAAGAACUUCAGCACUUUUGGAUAGUCAAGAAGAAAUAAUGGAAUCCAACGAAGCAUUUUAUAAGAGUCUAAACCAAGCGUAUAGAGACGAUUUGGUAUGUGAUGAUGCUUCUAGACCUACUUCACAAUUGGAUAUGAUAUGGGAAGCUCCAGAAGAAACAGACAUUGAAAUUGUUCCUACAGGUUCAAGACAAAUUUAUAGUUCGACUGACUAUAAAGAUUAUCGCGGUAUGCAAGGAGGACCCGGCAUCAGCGAAAGAGAUUUAGUGCAUUUAUCAACUUUAAGCACUAUAGAUCAAAUUACAGUAGAUAAAUUACAUGAGUUAGAUAGGUUAACAUCUCAAUUACAAAACGAAUCUAGAGAGAUUAGGGAUUUAAAAACCAGGCUACUGACACCAGAGCCCAAAAUUACAAAAAUUGAUAGGGAAAUUGAAGCAAAAGCUCUUGCAGAAGACGGGAAUAUAAUAAACGAACAAUUAAAGGGUGUUUAUUCGGGAGGUGAAGGUUGGGGAAUGAAUGAAAUGAUGAAAAGUUUUGAUGACUUUAUGCUAAAUAUUCCUAAAGAUGGUACUGGUAGAGAUAAAUCACCAUCUAGGCUGUCACUCACCGACAAUGUUGUUGCUGAAAGAUCAAUGGAUUAUUUACAACAAAAUCUAUCGCCUCGUCGAAAGUUCGUCCCCGAAAGAACGACAACAGAGCCAUACACUACAGUAACUGGUCGUUUGGCAUAUAGUUCUGCUGUUGCAAAUGCUGAAAUAAAUGCAGCAAAGGCAUCAAAAUCACCUAGUGCUCUGUCAAGAGAACGAUUUGAAUACAGUUCAACUUAUCAAGUAUGUGAUGGUUCCAGACCAAAUUAUUAUUCGAACAAAAUAAGUCAAAAAACUUUGUCAGAUUUAUACAAAACGAAUUCCCAGCAACAUUCUCCUCUAUCGGUAAAUGAAAUAUAUGAUGAUCCAGUUGAUACUAGAUUAGAUUUGACGUACAAUGAAAGUGCAUUACGUAAGUCUCCUAGUCCACCUCCUCCAGCUCCAAAUACAACUGAUGUUUUUCCUUGUUUAGAAAAUAAUAAUGAUCUAUCAGCUAAUCAUGUUAUGUUAUCAACGAUGAAUGUAAUGACAUCUGAUAACAUGAGGCUAAGUCCCAGAUCACCUAAAUCACCUAAAACUUCACCAAAACACGUCAAGAGAGACAGUACUAACAUUGUCGCUGCAAAAUCUGAUUCUGGCCUGUCAUCCAUGAGCGGGUGGUCAAGCUUAGAAAAGAGUCCCGGAUCACCAAAAACAGGCAGACUGUCACAUGUUAGUCAUGAUGUCUACAAAAUGAAAAUGACAUCACCUCAAUCAGUGCAAAGAAUGCCCUAUGAACUUGAACCUAAGCCGUAUUUAGAAACUUUAGUCGACUCAUAUAUGUACGAAAACAAAAAUGUGAAAAUUGAUUAUAACUUACGAAGUAACGAGCAAUUGUUGAAAAACGUAUGUAGUUCAAGAGAUUUACAAAAAUUCCAAGAUAAGAUUGAAAGUGAUUAUUAUAAAAGUGAAAUGCAUUUUUCGGUAGCCAACCAAAUGACACAAGUCACCAAUAUUGGUGAAUAUUAUUAUAGUUCAGAAGUUGCCUCAAUAUAUUCUGUCGCUGGAAAUAGACAACCAAUUUUUACAACAGUUUACAGUACCCCAAGAGGUAUGCUUCCUGACGAAAGGAAUUUUUCCGAAUUAUUAGAUAGUAAUGAAAUUUCUGAAUCAGUGCAAAGACCAUCAAUUGAUCCUUAUCCUCCAGAACCUAAUUAUCAUGCACAAACUGUGGUUAUGUCAGUAGCCAAUACAAAUAAUAAAAGAACUUUGACUCGAGCAAACACUAUGGGAGUGAGUGAAUCCCAGUACUUCCAAAAUGGUUAUAAAGUAUCAGGAACUCGAACUGGUUACCCACCCAGUAAUCUUACUGAUGCUCUUUCCUACUAUCCAACAUCAACAAGAUAUGAUUCUCCCAAAAGAAUAACGUUAGAAGAUCAACUUUCUUGGCAAGGAGGAAGUAGGUCACCUACAAGCUCACUUGAAACGUCGAGCUUGAAAUCACAUUCAUUAAGCAUAACAGAAAGAAAGCAGUUUCAAACUCAAUUGCAACAAGAGUAUUUUAAGCAACAACAAUUUGAUCAACGCAAUGGAAAUGUGAUGCACGAAAAUCAAGGAUACGAAAUACAAAGUAUGAACGAGCAUCAAAAAGUUAGAAAAGAUCAAUACGUAGAAUCGGGUGGCAUGCUGGUUUCGGAAUCUGGGUACCUAUCAAUUUCUUCUAAUUUAAAAGGCAAAAUCCAAGAAAAACAAUUAAAGAAACCGAAAAGAACUUCAUCGUUAAAGUCUGCCAUGUCUUCCAUGAGCCAAUGGCUACCAGACCUGCAUCUUCCUAAAAAACAUAGAUCACAUUCAUUGCCCUCUGGCGUAGACAACGUUGAACAACCAGUCCAGGAGAAAUCAUUAAAAGAAAGAAUAAUGUCAGCUCAGAGGAGAAAAAAGAAAUAUCAUUUGGUGGCAUCGAUGUCCGGCUUACUACAGAAAGCGAGACGAAAACAUCAAGCUAGUCAUCAGUCUUUGUCUGACCCCGAAACUUCUGAGACCGAAUGGUCAGGGGGUCGCUCCAGUGCCCAAUCUGAAGACAGCGAUAGUGUAUUUUCGGAUUCUGCUCAUGAGAAUAAUGUUUUUGCUAAAGUAGCAUCUAAACCAAAACAGAGAAAAGUCAAUAAUCAGGAGAUUGUGGAGCAACAACAAUUAAUUCAGGAUUUACAGGAAAAAGGUAUAGAAUUUAAGGAUGAUGACACAGAAUGCAUAAUUGAGGAGGAAGAAAAAUUUCCAUCUAAUAAUACUUUACCAAGGGAUAAAAGUGAUGAUAUAGAUUUCCAUUUUGCUCGUGUUAGUCAGAUGAAAAAAGAUAAUAUACAGGAAUUAGAGAAAUUGGAUAUUGACACAGAUAUUUCAAACGUUGACUUAUUCGAAGAGGACACCAUUGACCCUAACCAGUCGCCAGCCUCUAUAUUUGCAACUAUAGGCGAUGUCAAAAAAGCGAGUAUUACAUCAGACGAUGAAAAAAGUGAAGGAAACAAACCAUACAGUGCAAGCUCACAAGAAUUUGCAGUAUCACGAGCACUGGGUAAAUAUCGUUUGAGAAAGUCGACAUCUAUAUCAGAUGAACAAAUGGCCGAUAUAUCACCUCCUAAAUUAGACAAAGAAUUGCACGAACAAAGUAACGAUGAUAACAUGACAUCAAAAGAAAAAAAAAUUCGCAAGCCCACAACACCCGAGAUCGUAAAUAGUUCAGUAUCAGAAGAAAAUACGAUUUAUACAGAAAGAAGCCCGUCAAUGCAAAGUAGUCGAGGCAUUCAGAAUAAAUUUCAGCCUAGACAUCAACAAAGUUUGGAAAUUCCAAACAAGCAUGAUGAUGAUGACAGUCGAAGCACGCAUUCUUGGAGAAGUGGAUCUAGAGUUUCGUCUAGAAGACAAAGUACAGAAGACAGUAUUGACUCUGAAGACGAAUGGUAUUGUUAUGAAUUGAGGAAGUUGGAAGAAAUGGAGCACCAAUCUCAGUUAGAGGCUGAUAGACAUGACACGCUACCGGAAGAGCCCGAAUUUGAAGAUAUUAUGGAAGAGCCUCCUGAAGUUUUGAAAGAAAAAAUGUCUUUCGUACUCAGGGAAUUGAAAUUGAAAACAGCUCAAACGAAGACAAAGUAUGAUGAAUCUCCAAUGAAAGAAACAUGGAAAGAUAUAACAACUUUUCCUUCUAUCGAAGAAAGUGUUGAUAGUACUAAAGACCACGACCAAGAGUCUGAUGAUGACAAAUCUUACGCCGACACUGGAUCAGGUGAAACAUCAGGACCUGAUAGUCCUGUUGUAAGUGGCGAUGAAAUGGAUGACGAAUAUGAUAUGCCUCCGUCACCAAUUCCAGCGCGAAGGCAAGUACCAGUCCAGCAAGACACUACUGUUGGAAGCAAAUGGAAACUUUUGAAAGCUCUGAAAGAUCGUAAAGCCGAAGAGAAGACAACGGAAACUCCUACAGCGUCAACGCCGUCUGCUGAAAAAGACAAAGUCAGCGCAAGUAAUGGAUCCACCGGAUUUAGUGACCAAACAGGCCGAGGAAAUGGGCACCCUGGAGAUAAUCCAUUCUACAGUAACAUUGACAGCAUGCCCGACAUCAGGCCUCGAAGAAAAUCGAUCCCUCUUGUGUCAGAACUUGUUCUCAAGACUAUGGCUGCCACGAAAAGGAAUGCUGGAUUAACAUCAGCGGUACAUCGUGCAACACUUAAUGAUGAAGAGCUUAAAAUGCACGUUUACAAGAAGACACUUCAAGCCCUCAUCUACCCUAUAUCUUCAACAACCCCUCACAACUUUGUGCUGUGGACCGCCACUUCCCCCACUUAUUGCUACGAGUGUGAAGGGCUUCUAUGGGGUAUCGCACGACAAGGGGUCAGGUGUACAGAGUGCGGGGUCAAAUGCCAUGAGAAAUGCAAGGACUUGCUCAACGCUGAUUGCCUUCAGAUGUGUUUCGCAGGGGCUGCCGAGAAGUCUUCUAAGCACGGCGCGGAAGAUAAAGCUAAUUCGAUUAUAACAGCAAUGAAGGAAAGAAUGAAACAGCGAGAGCGAGACAAGCCCGAAAUAUUCGAACUCAUCAGGCGGACUUUUAACGUCGAUCCAGACACUCACAUUGACAGUCUCGAACAAGCCAAGCAAGUCACCAUUGAAGGGACUUCAAAAUGGUCUUGCAAGAUCGCCAUCACAGUUAUAUGUGCUCAGGGUUUGAUAGCGAAGGACAAGAGUGGGACCUCGGAUCCUUACGUAACAGUUCAAGUAAGCAAAGUGAAGAAAAGGACUAGAACUAUGCCUCAAGAACUGAACCCCGUUUGGAACGAGAAGUUUUACUUUGAGUGCCACAACUCCUCCGAUCGAAUCAAAGUGCGAGUGUGGGAUGAAGACAAUGAUUUAAAAUCGAAACUACGCCAAAAGUUAACCAGGGAAUCUGACGACUUCUUAGGACAAACCAUUAUUGAGGUACGGACAUUAUCCGGUGAGAUGGACGUUUGGUACAAUCUGGAGAAGCGCACGGAUAAAUCGGCUGUAUCCGGAGCUAUAAGACUUCACAUCAAUGUAGAAAUCAAGGGUGAAGAAAAGGUCGCUCCCUAUCACGUACAAUAUACCUGCCUCCAUGAAAACCUAUUUCACUAUCUGUGCGAAGAAAACGGAGGCGCUGUGACAUUACCAGCUGCGAGAGGUGACGACGCUUGGAAGGUUUACUUCAAUGAGAAUCCGGAGGAGAUUGUAGACGAAUUCGCUAUGAGAUACGGCAUCGAGGCUAUUUACCAAGCAAUGACACAUUUCCACUGUCUCUCGACGAAGUACCUUUGUCCCGGAGUGCCGGCUGUAAUGUCUACGCUAUUAGCUAACAUUAAUGCCUACUACGCGCACACGACAGCGUCAUCGGCUGUGUCUGCAUCAGAUAGAUUCGCGGCUUCAAACUUUGGGAAAGAGAAAUUCGUGAAACUGCUCGAUCAACUCCACAACUCUCUCAGAAUCGAUCUCUCGAUGUAUCGAAACAACUUCCCCGCUUCGAGUGCUGAGAAACUCAUGGACCUGAAGUCUACUGUUGACCUGUUGACCAGCAUCACUUUCUUCAGGAUGAAGGUCCAAGAGUUGAGCAGUCCUCCCCGAGCUAGCACAGUGGUUAAAGACUGCGUGAAAGCCUGUUUGAGGUCAACAUACCAGUUCUUAUUCGAAAAUUGCUACGAGCUUUACAAUAGAGAAUUUCAGGUAGACCCCAAUGAAGCAAAGCGUGACCCAGCUGACCACGGACCACAGUUAGACUCUGUCGAUUUCUGGCACAAAUUAAUAGCUCUCAUAGUGUCUGUUAUAGAAGAAGACCGAAAUAGCUACGCUCCCGUACUGAACCAGUUCCCGCAGGAGCUCAAUAUUGGACAGCUGUCCGCAGCCACAAUGUGGUCGUUAUUCGCAGUGGAUAUGAAGUACGCUCUGGAGGAACAUGAACAACACAGGCUCUGCAAGUCUUCCGCCUACAUGAAUCUCCACUUCAAAGUAAAAUGGCUGCAUACGAACUACGUGAAAGACGUCCCGCCGUACUGUGGCGCUGUGCCGGAGUAUCCGGCGUGGUUCGAACCCUUCGUGAUGCAGUGGCUGAAUGAAAACGACGACGUGUCCUUAGAAUAUUUGAACGGAGCAUUCAACAGAGAUAAACGUGAUGGGUUCCAAAAGUCCAGCGAGCACGCGCUCUUCAGCAACUCAGUGGUCGACGUGUUCACGCAACUGACGCAAUGCUUCGACGUGGUCUCGAAGCUGGAGUGUCCCGACCCUGAAAUAUGGAAACGGUACAUGAAACGUUUCGCCAAGACCAUAGUGAAGGUGCUGGUCGCGUAUUCGGAUAUCGUUAAGAAAGAAUUCCCAGAGCAUCUGAAAGAAGAACGGGUUGCCUGCAUCCUCAUGAACAACAUUCAGCAGCUGCGAGUGCAGCUAGAGAAGAUGUUCGAGGCGAUGGGCGGCACCAAGCUGGAGCGCGACGCGGCCGACAUCCUCCACGACUUGCAGCAGCGCCUCAACAGCACGCUGGACGAACUCGCAUCCAUGUUCGCUAAUAGCCUGGAGUUCAGAAUAACAGCGAGCGUGAAGGAUCUAGGAGACCUGCUACAGAAGGUGGGCGGAGGCGGAGCGCCCGGCGUCCCACAGCACCCCGCGCACCAGGAGGCUGAUGAGGUGCUCCGGCCCCUAAUGGAUAUCUUGGACGGUUCUCUUACUAUGUACGCGGAGUCUUGCGAGAAGACCGUCCUUAAGCGCCUUCUGAAGGAGCUGUGGAAGAUUGUCAUGAAGAUAUUAGAGAAAACCGUCGUACUCCCACCCAUGACGGAUAAAACGAUGAUGUUGAAGAACUUAACGAAUAACGCCAAGAAUUUAGCGGCGAACGCAAAGAUAGAGGACAUGACGCAGCUGUUCAAGAGCACCGUUGGCAAGCAGGACGUAAAGCACGCGCUCUCCGGCGUCAUGGACAUCUCUAAAGAACAUCUGUCAGCCGAGAAGAGCUUAACGCCGAAGCAAUGCGCGGUACUGGACGCGGCUCUGGACACCAUCAAGCAGUACUUCCACGCCGGCGGCAACGGACUCAAGAAGACUUUCUUGGAAAAGAGUCCAGAGCUCCAGUCGCUGAGAUACGCCCUCAGUCUGUACACGCAGACGACUGACACGUUGAUCAGGACCUUCGUUACCAGCCAGCAGAAUCAAGACGCCGCUGUUGCUGAGGAGGGAAGCGUCGGCGAAGUGUCCCUGCAAGUGGACCUCUUCACACAUCCCGGGACGGGAGAACAUAAAAUCACUGUCAAAGUGGUUGCGGCAAAUGAUCUCAAGUGGGUGAUCGCGAGUGGAAUGUUCCGUCCGUUUAUAGAGGUGAACCUGAUAGGCCCUCACUUGGCCGACAAGAAGAGGAAGUUCGCCACCAAAUCCAAGAGCAACAACUGGAGUCCCAAGUUCAAUGAAACCUUCCAUUUCAUGGUGAGCGCCACUGAGCAGCUGGAGUUGUUCGAGCUGCACGUCUGCGUGCGGGACUACUGCUUCGCGCGCGAGGACCGGCUCGUCGGCGUCGCGGUCAUGCGGCUCGCCGACAUCGCGGAGCAGCAGGGUUCGUGUGCCUGCUGGCUACCGCUCGGCACAAGGGUGAAGAUGGACGAGACGGGCUGGACGAUCCUAAGGAUACUUUCUCAAAGACACAGCGACGAAGUGGCUAGGGAGUUCGUCAAAUUAAAGUCGGAGAUGAGAGCCGAGGCGCCGGCCGGAGGUCAAGGACCCUCGUGAACAAAACUGACAACCAAAAGGGCCACAGCAUUCAGCAAAUCGCUCAACUUCACACUCGAAGGCUCUGCCCGAACUCACGUCCCGAGUUUCGGCUCGGGAACAGAGAUAGACAUACCCAACGCACAACGAGUGCGACUGAGAGAGACGACGCCAAUAAAACAGAGUACCAAUAACCAUUCGGCGCUCCGGCGGCUCCCGGUCAGUGCUCGUUAUAUCAUUUGUAGUCUCGAUUUCGAGAUGAGUUUUGUAAAUAAAAUUAUUGUAUUAUGUUACGCGACUAGGGGUAUGAUUUGCACAAAUUCGUAUUUCAUUAACAUUAGCAGAAAAGACUGACCGUAGGCGGCUGAGGGCGCCGCGGCGUUCCGCUGCAUUAGGCGAUCGGUAAAAGAACACUCAACACUGUAUUAGACACAGUGUUGCCAUGUUAAAAAAAUAUCCCCAAAUCGAAGGAUAUCCCAUUUAAAAUUCGACCUUCGUUGAGUUGAAAACAUUAAACAACACACACUUUUUGCGGAACUCCUAAUACAACGGACGCGGCAAAUACGCGAUUUAAGUAAUAAUAUUGAUAUGGACCAAACUGUCGUAAAAUACGGAUGAAUUAAUCCUUAAUCCUUAAAAUAUUAAAAGCAUUAUUUAUCUAAUUAAUCAUCUUAUCGUUAUAUGUGUACAGUGAAUAAUAUAUGGCCUUAUGUAAAUUAUUUCCUACGUUUGUUGGUAUUUGCUUCUGUCGAGUUGGUAAUCGUAUAUGAGUGUGUUAAUGAAUGUUCUAUAUGAUAUAAAUGCGUAUCUCUAUAUAUUAUUUUCUGUCGGUGACCGCGUGGUUUGUAGGUUAUCGCGAAAACAUGUUUAGGUGAUGUGUUCUGUAUCAUGGAAUUAAUAUAGUUAUAGUAAAAAAAAAUGUUAUUCUAAAAUGUAAGGUUUGUCAUUUUUUAUAUAAAUUGUUUUAGCGUCCCGUAUUGAUUGAUCUGAAUUUUGUCGUGGUCCACACUUACCAUUUUAUUUAUGUGACGAUUCUGAAAUGCAAAUACGGUACAUAAUGUUUAACGUUGGUUUUUUUGAAAUCGUUUCCGGUUUUAUUUAGUGACGUACGCGGCGUAUACAUCACAGGAUGUUACGUCAUUACGCGAGUGUAAUAAGAAGGUAACAGUUUCAAGAUUUCCUUUUUGCAUACCCAAUGAUUGAAUCAUGAGUCAUGUUAAUCACAGUUCGCUAUCGCUUCUCAACAAGCUUGGCCUCUGCGUGUACUCUCAAUAUAUUCUUGUAUAGUAAAAAUUGUGAUAUCGUCGUAAAUUUCCCGUUGACUUCAUACUCUCCUCUAUCAAUAUACUGUUUAAAAUACAAUUCAAUAUACAUGUAUAACUGUUAUGAUUUUCUUUUUUAUGUUCAUUGUUCAGAUAAUAGAUUAAGUAACUUAAUUAUUAUUUUUUACAUUUAGAAAACUAAACACAUAAGACACAGUCCACAAUAUAUACGUUACUCAUUAUUAUUUAUAUAUUAUAUUAUUAUUUAAAAAUUUGUGUACAUUUUCAAUACCACCUUAAAUUCUUGUAUUAUAAUACAUAAUUGUUUUUAUCUUUCAUUAUCAUUGUUUGAUUUCUAUAUCUUUUUUUUUUAAAGCACGCGGAAUUUUCCCGUAAUUCUUGGAUAUUUUUAAUGCUGGUCACAAAAAGUGGUAUUGAAAGUAUACAGGUUGUAUAGAGUAUACCAAUAGUAAAUGUUACGGGACUUAGAUUUUUUAUUAUAAUUAACGUUUAUCAUGGAUUACAUAUCUGUAGAUAGAUAAUGUGGUUCAUCUAUAGUCCAAAUCUGAAUAAUAUACGUUAAAUAUUACUCGUCUUUAACUAUUUAAUAAAUAAUAAUUUUAUUUAAUAAUUCCAUUUCCGACUUGACUGAUUCUUAUUAAUAUAUGUCAUAGACAAAUUUAAUGAAAAUUUCUUAUUACGCCAUUGACAUAGUUCUCUUUAAUCUGGGUACGAUGACAAGAUACAAGCGUAUAUUUCUACGUUGAAUAGAUUUAUGUCAACAUACUAGACUAUAAUUAUAACUGAUCCAUUAUUUCAACAUUAAACGAAAAAAUCGAUUAUAAAUUUAAUCAUGUUGUUUUAAACCGGUUUUUUUAAUUAAGGCAAAGGUGUUUUAAUUGAGAUAUGAAAUCGGAUUUUGUCGCUUUAUAAUUCACGCACUGUUAACACAAGAAAAAAACUAAGAACCAAUACCAGUAUUACGAUCAGUUUUGAUUGGGUAUUACAUGACAAUUAUACACGGGAAUUUAAGAAAAGGUUUUUUUUCUCAAUAAAACGCGCACAUUCCAUUGUACCAUCAUACUACGACUCGUUGGCGAUGAUAAUACACGUACAUAAAAUAAAUUUAAAUAAAAUCAAAAUAGGAAACAUGAUCAAUAACACUGUUAUUAAAAAACCGGCUUUUGUUUACAGAUUUUUUUUAGUUUUACCGAUUUUUUUUUCAUUCAUUACCAACGAGUCAAAACGUCGACACAUGAACUUCACCAUAUUUUGACAAUACUUUGUAAACCUUUGGUAAGUGUAACCGGUGAUCGUAUCACGCGCAUCACAAAAUGUUACGCUCCAGUUUUAGUAUUAAUAAAAAAAAUCACUAAAACAUUGCAUAUAUCUUUGUAUAAAAAUGCAUAUAUGUAAAUGUUACAUGUUUAAACACAUUAUUGAAUUUAGAAUUUUUAUGAAAAAAAUAAAUAAAUAAAUAUCCGUA